AUUGAACGCUGGCGGCAGGCCUAACACAUGCCAGUCGAGCGGAUGAAGGGAGCUUGCUCCUGGAUUCAGCGGCGGACGGGUGAGUAAUGCCUAGGAAUCUGCCUGGUAGUGGGGGAUAACGUCCGGAAACGGGCGCUAAUACCGCAUACGUCCUGAGGGAGAAAGUGGGGGAUCUUCGGACCUCACGCUAUCAGAUGAGCCUAGGUCGGAUUAGCUGGUUGGUGGGGUAAAGGCCUACCAAGGCGACGAUCCGUAACUGGUCUGAGAGGAUGAUCAGUCACACUGGAACUGAGACACGGUCCAGACUCCUACGGGAGGCAGCAGUGGGGAAUAUUGGACAAUGGGCGAAAGCCUGAUCCAGCCAUGCCGCGUGUGUGAAGAAGGUCUUCGGAUUGUAAAGCACUUUAAGUUGGGAGGAAGGGCAGUAAGUUAAUACCUUGCUGUUUUGACGUUACCAACAGAAUAAGCACCGGCUAACUUCGUG
Molecule: ribosomal RNA, 484 nt
Filed under: uncultured bacterium
Lineage: Bacteria
Description: partial 16S ribosomal RNA
Rfam family: Bacterial small subunit ribosomal RNA
Source: RNAcentral